GUUGGUGAGGUAACGGCUCACCAAGGCGACGAUCCCUAGCUGGUCUGAGAGGAUGACCAGCCACACUGGAACUGAGACACGGUCCAGACUCCUACGGGAGGCAGCAGUGGGGAAUAUUGCACAAUGGGCGCAAGCCUGAUGCAGCCAUGCCGCGUGUAUGAAGAAGGCCUUCGGGUUGUAAAGUACUUUCAGCGGGGAGGAAGGUGUUGUGGUUAAUAACCGCAGCAAUUGACGUUACCCGCAGAAGAAGCACCGGCUAACUCCGUGCCAGCAGCCGCGGUAAUACGGAGGGUGCAAGCGUUAAUCGGAAUUACUGGGCGUAAAGCGCACGCAGGCGGUCUGUCAAGUCGGAUGUGAAAUCCCCGGGCUCAACCUGGGAACUGCAUUCGAAACUGGCAGGCUUGAGUCUUGUAGAGGGGGGUAGAAUUCCAGGUGUAGCGGUGAAAUGCGUAGAGAUCUGGAGGAAUACCGGUGGCGAAGGCGGCCCCCUGGACAAAGACUGACGCUCAGGUGCGAAAGCGUGGGGAGCAAACAGGAUUAGAUACCCUGGUAGUCCACGCCGUAAACGAUGUCUACUUGGAGGUUGUGCCCUUGAGGCGUGGCUUCCGGAGCUAACGCGUUAAGUAGACCGCCUGGGGAGUACGGCCGCAAGGUUAAAACUCAAAUGAAUUGACGGGGGCCCGCACAAGCGGUGGAGCAUGUGGUUUAAUUCGAUGCAACGCGAAGAACCUUACCUGGUCUUGACAUCCACGGAAGUUUUCAGAGAUGAGAAUGUGCCUUCGGGAACCGUGAGACAGGUGCUGCAUGGCUGUCGUCAGCUCGUGUUGUGAAAUGUUGGGUUAAGUCCCGCAACGAGCGCAACCCUUAUCCUUUGUUGCCAGCGGUUAGGCCGGGAACUCAAAGGAGACUGCCAGUGAUAAACUGGAGGAAGGUGGGGAUGACGUCAAGUCAUCAUGGCCCUUACGACCAGGGCUACACACGUGCUACAAUGGCGCAUACAAAGAGAAGCGACCUCGCGAGAGCAAGCGGACCUCAUAAAGUGCGUCGUAGUCCGGAUUGGAGUCUGCAACUCGACUCCAUGAAGUCGGAAUCGCUAGUAAUCGUGGAUCAGAAUGCCACGGUGAAUACGUUCCCGGGCCUUGUACACACCGCCCGUCACACCAUGGGAGUGGGUUGCAAAAGAAGUAGGUAGCUUAACCUUCGGGAGGGCGCUUACCACUUUGUGAUUCAUGACUGGGGUGAAGUCGUAACAAGGUAACCGUAGGGGAACCUGCGGUUGGAUCACCUCCUUACCUUAAAGAA
Molecule: ribosomal RNA, 1302 nt
Filed under: Salmonella enterica subsp. enterica serovar Albany
Lineage: Bacteria; Pseudomonadati; Pseudomonadota; Gammaproteobacteria; Enterobacterales; Enterobacteriaceae
Description: bacterial SSU rRNA
Rfam family: Bacterial small subunit ribosomal RNA
Source: RNAcentral